UGUGUGUGUGUUUGUGUCUGAGAGUGAGGGGAGGGAGAGAGAGAGAGAGAUUAGGGUAGGAAAGCAUGUGGUGGGGAAUUAAUUUGGGGGACUGACUGACUGCAAGAGAGAAGAGGAGCAGUUGGGCCAGCAAAUUAAAUGGGGUUCCGAUGGCAUAGCAAAACACAUGUCAAAGAUUUCUGAGCCAAAUACAUCCCGAUCCCAAUCAGUGACAAGGCAGAGAGCCCCACCCCAGGGCUCUACCCUAUCGCUUCUCGUUGCAUGGGGCG
Molecule: long non-coding RNA, 269 nt
Filed under: Elaeis guineensis (African oil palm)
Lineage: Eukaryota; Viridiplantae; Streptophyta; Magnoliopsida; Arecales; Arecaceae
Description: long non-coding RNA (EGUI_LNC004473)
Source: RNAcentral